GGGCAAGUAACUCAGUGGAUAGAGUAUCAGAUUCCGAUUCUGAAGGUCGUGGGUUCGAAUCCCUCCUUGUCCG
Molecule: transfer RNA, 73 nt
Filed under: Wildemania schizophylla
Lineage: Eukaryota; Rhodophyta; Bangiophyceae; Bangiales; Bangiaceae
Description: tRNA-Arg
Rfam family: tRNA
About the family: Transfer RNA (tRNA) molecules are approximately 80 nucleotides in length. Their secondary structure includes four short double-helical elements and three loops (D, anti-codon, and T loops).
Source: RNAcentral